This 800-nucleotide ribosomal RNA is filed under the name Enterococcaceae bacterium AaD9. RNAcentral's name for it is "bacterial SSU rRNA". It matches the Rfam family "Bacterial small subunit ribosomal RNA", at positions 44 to 826 of the family's 1533-position model. Lineage: Bacteria; Bacillati; Bacillota; Bacilli; Lactobacillales; Enterococcaceae. The record is from RNAcentral.
GUGCCUAAUACAUGCAAGUCGAACGAACAGAGAAAGAGCUUGCUCUUUCAAAGUGAGUGGCGGACGGGUGAGUAACACGUGGGUAACCUGCCCAUUAGAGGGGGAUAACACUUGGAAACAGGUGCUAAUACCGCAUAAUUCUUUGGACCGCAUGGUCUAAAGAUGAAAGACGCUUUCGGGUGUCACUAAUGGAUGGACCCGCGCUGCAUUAGUUAGUUGGUGAGGUAACGGCUCACCAAGACCGUGAUGCAUAGCCGACCUGAGAGGGUGAUCGGCCACACUGGGACUGAGACACGGCCCAGACUCCUACGGGAGGCAGCAGUAGGGAAUCUUCGGCAAUGGACGAAAGUCUGACCGAGCAACGCCGCGUGAGUGAAGAAGGUUUUCGGAUCGUAAAACUCUGUUGUUAGAGAAGAACAAGGAUGAGAGUAACUGUUCAUCCCUUGACGGUAUCUAACCAGAAAGCCACGGCUAACUACGUGCCAGCAGCCGCGGUAAUACGUAGGUGGCAAGCGUUGUCCGGAUUUAUUGGGCGUAAAGCGAGCGCAGGUGGUUUCUUAAGUCUGAUGUGAAAGCCCCCGGCUUAACCGGGGAGGGUCAUUGGAAACUGGGAGACUUGAGUGCAGAAGAGGAGAGUGGAAUUCCAUGUGUAGCGGUGAAAUGCGUAGAUAUAUGGAGGAACACCAGUGGCGAAGGCGACUCUCUGGUCUGUACCUGACACUGAGGCUCGAAAGCGUGGGGAGCCAACAGGAUAGAUACCCUGGUAGUCCACGCCGUAAACGAUGAGUGCUAAGUGUUUG